Molecule: long non-coding RNA, 318 nt
Organism: Papaver somniferum (opium poppy)
Lineage: Eukaryota; Viridiplantae; Streptophyta; Magnoliopsida; Ranunculales; Papaveraceae
Exons: 3
Source: RefSeq, a predicted model, not a curated record
UCAUAUUUACCCUCCGACUUUGAGCACCCUUCUCACAAACUGACAAACAAAACAACAUACAUGGAAGACUAAGACGGCCGUUAUGUCAUGUUUUCUCUUCAUUCACAGAGAAUGCAAGUGAGGAUCAUCGUGGAAUUAGUGAUUCAGUACCAGGUGGAUAAUUAAGAAGGAGUUAAACAUAAAAUUGCAGAAGAGCAAAGUUCUAGGAGAUAUGUAGCGGAUGAGGUUAAUCGUCAUGAUAUGGAAAUUUAUUUGGUGGUGAGAAGAACGUUGGAUACGGGGCAGAGAAAUUAAGAUUGUCAAGAUACCCGUGAGAUG